ACACGUCGAUAACGUUCCUUUAGGUCCGGAAUAAUCUCAGGAAACUGAGGAUAAGUCCGGAUAGAGCACAGGUACUGGAAUGUCCUAUGCUCUAAAGGCAACGCCUAAAGAUCGGUCGGCGGCGGAUUAGGUUGUUGGCGGUGUAAUGGACCACCAAGCCGAAGAUCCGUACGGGCCUUGAGAGAGGGUGCCCGGAGAGGGACACUGAGAUAUUGGUCCCAGCCCCACGGGGUGCAGCAGUCGGGAAAACUUCGCAAUGCACGAAAGUGUGACGAGGGAAUUCAGAGUGCUCAGGCAUUGCGCCUGGGCUUUUGUCAAGGGCAAAUACCUUGGCGAAUAAGUGGUGGGCAAGACCGGUGCCAGCCGCCGCGGUAACCCCGGCGCCACAAGUGGGAACCACUUUUAUUGGGUCUAAAGCAUCCGUAGCCGGUUCGGCAAAUGCCUUGUGAAAUGGUUGCGCUCAACGUAACCUCGUGCAAGGUAGACUACCGAACUAGGGACCAGAAGAUGUUAGCAGUAUUCCUGGGGGAACGGUAAAAUGUUAUAAUCCCAGGAGGACUACCGAUGGCGAAGGCAGCUAACAAGUAUGGAUCCGACGGUGAGGGAUGAAAGCUAGGGGAGCGAUCCGGAUUAGAUACCCGAGUAGUCCUAGCCGUAAACGCUGUAUGCCAGAUGUUGCACGAUCUUCGAGAUCGUG
This 697-nucleotide ribosomal RNA is filed under the name uncultured archaeon. RNAcentral describes it as "bacterial SSU rRNA". It matches the Rfam family "Archaeal small subunit ribosomal RNA", at positions 96 to 795 of the family's 1478-position model. The record is from RNAcentral.